UGAGCCAGAUUUUGUGGUGCCCUCACAGGUUCUGUGGAAGAUCCCUGCUCCACAUCUCAGUGUCCCUCCCCAGUUCCUGGUGUGAGCACAAAGCCAGGUCUCAUUGUGCUGAACUAGAACGUCAGGUACACAAUUCAAGUACUCAAAAGCUGGGAAAUGAAGAGAUGAAGACUGGACUCCUUUAAUUUAAACACCUGGAUCAGAAAACUCUUCACUGUGCUGCAACCAAAGAGGGAAAAA
RNAcentral lists this long non-coding RNA (240 nucleotides) under Cyanistes caeruleus (blue tit). RNAcentral describes it as "lncRNA (ENSCCEG00000010966.1)". The record is from RNAcentral. Lineage: Eukaryota; Metazoa; Chordata; Aves; Passeriformes; Paridae.